GCGCCCAUAGCUCAGUUGGUAGAGCAGCGGCCUUUUAAGCCGUUGGUCGAUGGUUCGAAUCCAUCUGGGCGCACCG
Molecule: transfer RNA, 76 nt
Filed under: Candidatus Kaiserbacteria bacterium
Lineage: Bacteria; Candidatus Kaiseribacteriota
Description: tRNA-Lys
Rfam family: tRNA
About the family: Transfer RNA (tRNA) molecules are approximately 80 nucleotides in length. Their secondary structure includes four short double-helical elements and three loops (D, anti-codon, and T loops).
Source: RNAcentral